AGCGAACGCUGGCGGCAGGCUUAACACAUGCAAGUCGAGCGGGCCCUUCGGGGUCAGCGGCAGACGGGUGAGUAACACGUGGGAACGUACCCUUUGGUUCGGAAUAACGCUGGGAAACUAGCGCUAAUACCGGAUACGCUCUUUUGGGGAAAGGCUUGCUGCCGAAGGAUCGGCCCGCGUCUGAUUAGCCAGUUGGUGGGGUAAUGGCCUAUCAAGGCGACGAUCAGUAGCUGGUCUGAGAGGAUGAUCAGCCACACUGGAACUGAGACACGGCCCAGACUCCUACGGGAGGCAGCAGUGGGGAAUAUUGGACAAUGGGCGCAAGCCUGAUCCAGCCAUGCCGCGUGAGUGAUGAAGGCCUUAGGGUUGUAAAGCUCUUUUGUCCGGGACGAUAAUGACGGUACCGGAAGAAUAAGCCCCGGCUAACUUCGUG
This 433-nucleotide ribosomal RNA is filed under the name uncultured bacterium. Its description in RNAcentral is "partial 16S ribosomal RNA". It matches the Rfam family "Bacterial small subunit ribosomal RNA", at positions 29 to 507 of the family's 1533-position model. The record is from RNAcentral.